RNAcentral lists this transfer RNA (78 nucleotides) under Mycetomoellerius zeteki. Its description in RNAcentral is "Trachymyrmex zeteki tRNA". It matches the Rfam family "tRNA". From Rfam's summary of the family: Transfer RNA (tRNA) molecules are approximately 80 nucleotides in length. Their secondary structure includes four short double-helical elements and three loops (D, anti-codon, and T loops). Further hydrogen bonds mediate the characteristic L-shaped molecular structure. tRNAs have two regions of fundamental functional importance: the anti-codon, which is responsible for specific mRNA codon recognition, and the 3' end, to which the tRNAs corresponding amino acid is attached (by aminoacyl-tRNA synthetases). tRNAs cope with the degeneracy of the genetic code in two manners: having more than one tRNA (with a specific anti-codon) for a particular amino acid; and 'wobble' base-pairing, i.e. permitting non-standard base-pairing at the 3rd anti-codon position. The record is from Rfam by way of RNAcentral. Lineage: Eukaryota; Metazoa; Arthropoda; Insecta; Hymenoptera; Formicidae.
GUCUCGGUAGUCUAAAGGCUUAUAUUAGGACGCUUGCACGGAAUGCAAGAGAUCCGGGUUCGACUCCCGGCCGAGGCA